UCCUGAAUGAGUUCCUUCCGGGAAAGAACUGGGGCGGCGGCCGAUGGCUUCAGUUUCUUGAAUUGAACGGAAAGACCUUCGUCGAGCUCAUCGCCAUCCUGGCUGGCUGCGGCCUACUGAUCGGCGCGUUCNNNGACCGGCGUGAUCUCAAGCCUCGCCAACGAUCUUCUCAAGAUCGCCGGCGGCGACGUGUUCCUCCUGCUGAUCAUGUGUGCGAUUACGAGCCUUAUUCUGGGC
Molecule: unclassified non-coding RNA, 237 nt
Filed under: Hevea brasiliensis (rubber tree)
Lineage: Eukaryota; Viridiplantae; Streptophyta; Magnoliopsida; Malpighiales; Euphorbiaceae
Source: RNAcentral